UUUAAAGGGAAAAGAAAGGGUUUUAUAUUAUAUAGAAUUUUGGAACAGUCAGGACGAACGCUGGCGGCGUGCCUAAUACAUGCAAGUCGAGCGGACUUAAAAAGCUUGCUUUUUAAGUUAGCGGCGGACGGGUGAGUAACACGUGGGCAACCUGCCUGUAAGACUGGGAUAACUUCGGGAAACCGGAGCUAAUACCGGAUAAUCCUUUUCUACUCAUGUAGAAAAGCUGAAAGACGGUUUACGCUGUCACUUACAGAUGGGCCCGCGGCGCAUUAGCUAGUUGGUGAGGUAACGGCUCACCAAGGCGACGAUGCGUAGCCGACCUGAGAGGGUGAUCGGCCACACUGGGACUGAGACACGGCCCAGACUCCUACGGGAGGCAGCAGUAGGGAAUCUUCCGCAAUGGACGAAAGUCUGACGGAGCAACGCCGCGUGAGUGAUGAAGGUUUUCGGAUCGUAAAACUCUGUUGUUAGGGAAGAACAAGUACGAGAGUAACUGCUCGUACCUUGACGGUACCUAACCAGAAAGCCACGGCUAACUACGUGCCAGCAGCCGCGGUAAUACGUAGGUGGCAAGCGUUGUCCGGAAUUAUUGGGCGUAAAGCGCGCGCAGGCGGUCCUUUAAGUCUGAUGUGAAAGCCCACGGCUCAAACCGUGGAGGGUCAUUGGAAACUGGGGGACUUGAGUGCAGAAGAGAAGAGUGGAAUUCCACGUGUAGCGGUGAAAUGCGUAGAGAUGUGGAGGAACACCAGUGGCGAAGGCGACUCUUUGGUCUGUAACUGACGCUGAUGCGCGAAAGACGUGC
Molecule: ribosomal RNA, 805 nt
Filed under: Bacillus sp. AACJ1
Lineage: Bacteria; Bacillati; Bacillota; Bacilli; Caryophanales; Bacillaceae
Description: bacterial SSU rRNA
Rfam family: Bacterial small subunit ribosomal RNA
Source: RNAcentral